AACGUAGGAGACAAACGUUAUCCGGAGUUACUGGGCGUAAAGGGCGUGUAGGUGGUUUAGUAAGUCUGGCGUGAAAUUUUUCGGCUUAACCGGGAAAGGUCGUCGGAUACUGCAAUACUAGAGGACGGUAGAGGCGUGUGGAAUUCCGGGUGUAGUGGUGAAAUGCGUAGAGAUCCGGAGGAACACCAGUGGCGAAGGCGACACGCUGGGCCGUACCUGACACUGAUGCGCGACAGCAUGGGGAGCAAACAGG
Molecule: ribosomal RNA, 253 nt
Filed under: uncultured bacterium
Lineage: Bacteria
Description: partial 16S ribosomal RNA
Rfam family: Bacterial small subunit ribosomal RNA
Source: RNAcentral